UUAAGCUUAGUUGCCAUCAUUAAGUUGGGCACUCUAAGUUGACUGCCGGUGACAAACCGGAGGAAGGUGGGGAUGACGUCAAAUCAUCAUGCCCCUUAUGAUUUGGGCUACACACGUGCUACAAUGGACAAUACAAAGGGCAGCGAAACCGCGAGGUCAAGCAAAUCCCAUAAAGUUGUUCUCAGUUCGGAUUGUAGUCUGCAACUCGACUACAUGAAGCUGGAAUCGCUAGUAAUCGUAGAUCAGCAUGCUACGGUGAAUACGUUCCCGGGUCUUGUACACACCGCCCGUCACACCACGAGAGUUUGUAACACCCGAAGCCGGUGGAGUAACCUUUUAGGAGCUAGCCGUCGAAGGUGGGACAAAUGAUUGGGGUGAAGUCGUAACAAGGUAGCCGUAUCGGAAGGUGCGGCUGGAUCACCUCCUUU
Molecule: ribosomal RNA, 428 nt
Filed under: Staphylococcus aureus
Lineage: Bacteria; Bacillati; Bacillota; Bacilli; Caryophanales; Staphylococcaceae
Description: bacterial SSU rRNA
Rfam family: Bacterial small subunit ribosomal RNA
Source: RNAcentral